This 829-nucleotide long non-coding RNA is filed under the name Rosa chinensis. RNAcentral describes it as "sRNA RchiOBHm_Chr5g0044821". The record is from RNAcentral. Lineage: Eukaryota; Viridiplantae; Streptophyta; Magnoliopsida; Rosales; Rosaceae.
GCUCUAUGAUCAUGACCGAGAGGCUUUGAUGGAUUUCGGAAACGAGGCAGACCAAGGAGGCUGAGUUGGAGGAUGAACUGGGAGAACUGAGGGAAGAAUUGAAGUUUUACAAGGAAUGAAUACGAGAGGCUUUCGGUUGAUUCAUCUGCUGAAGGCUCACCUGUUGAAGAGAAACUAGUGGAGUCUGUUUUAGCAACAUCGACCAAAGAUGAGACUGGGGCGGCAUGUGCAUUUUUGGAGCCAAUAGCUGAAAUGGGUCAUGUCAAAGGUUGCUAAAUAUGUGGAAUGGCUUGAGGCCGUCAUCUCAAAAAGUUUUAUCGCUAGUUGCUGAGUUGAAAACACUUCAGAAGAAUAAUGAAACACUUGAGAAGGAUAAAGAACAUCUAAGGAUCAAUCUUCUUUCUGCUGAAGAGGAGUUGAGAAGAGCAGAACGUUUUCUAAUAUUGAUUCUUCCACUUCCAUGUCAAACCUGACAUAGUGUAAUGAACUAAUGAUAUCCCAUAUAUAUUAUGAUGAAUGCAGGUCAAAUUGCUUUUCGAAGAAAACAAAGUGUUAGAUGAAGCUAACAAAAGAUUACUAAAGCAGUACUGCAAGGAAAGAAACAAUUCUGGUUCUGAUGGAAAGCAUACUGAUGUAUCAACAAAGUCAAACAAGUGAAAAUCUAGCUCUAAGGUGAUGAGCAGCAGCCCGAUUCAGGGGAAGAACGAUUUCAGUGACCAAGAAUCAGCAAGACAACCUCUCUCACCCUUGCGUUGUAACUCAUCUAACUCAAGACUGCAUAAAAAGCAAUAGGAAACUUCCGAAAUAGUCUGAUGUAUAUCUCACCUCU